Molecule: ribosomal RNA, 491 nt
Filed under: uncultured bacterium
Lineage: Bacteria
Description: bacterial SSU rRNA
Rfam family: Bacterial small subunit ribosomal RNA
Source: RNAcentral
AACGAACGUUGGCGGCGUGGAUUAGGCAUGCAAGUCGAACGAAUCCCAGGGGGCUUGCUCUCUGGGGGAAGUGGCGAAAGGGGCAGUAAGGCGUGGGUAAUCUACCCGGGGGACUGGGAUAGCCCUCCUAACGGAGGGGUAAUACCGGGCGACGUGGCGGGGGGCAUCCUCCUGCCACCAAAUGAAUUUCGCCCCCGGAGGAACUCACGUGGUAUUAGCUUGUUGGUGGGGUAACGGCCCACCAAGGCCAAGAUGCCUAGCAGGUGUGAGAGCACGACCUGCGCCACUGGCACUGAGACACUGGCCAGACUCCUACGGGAGGCUGCAGUCGAGGAUCUUCGGCAAUGGGCGCAAGCCUGACCGAGCGACGCCGCGUGUGCGAUGAAGGCCUUCGGGUUGUAAAGCACUGUCGAGGGGGAGGAAAGCCGCAAGGCUUGACCUAUCCCUGGAGGAAGCACGGGCUAAGUUCGUGCCAGCAGCCGCGGUAAGAC